RNAcentral lists this ribosomal RNA (440 nucleotides) under uncultured bacterium. Its description in RNAcentral is "partial 16S ribosomal RNA". It matches the Rfam family "Bacterial small subunit ribosomal RNA", at positions 338 to 795 of the family's 1533-position model. The record is from RNAcentral.
CCUACGGGAGGCAGCAGUGGGGGAUAUUGCACAAUGGGGGGAACCCUGAUGCAGCGACGCCGCGUGAGCGAAGAAGUACCUCGGUAUGUAAAGCUCUAUCAGCAGGGAAGAAAAUGACGGUACCUGACUAAGAAGCCCCGGCUAAAUACGUGCCAGCAGCCGCGGUAAUACGUAUGGGGCAAGCGUUAUCCGGAUUUACUGGGUGUAAAGGGAGCGCAGGCGGCCUGCCAAGUCUGGUGUGAAAACCCGGGGCCCAACCCCGGGCCUGCAUUGGAAACUGGCGGGCUGGAGUACUGGAGAGGCAGACGGAAUUCCUAGUGUAGCGGUGAAAUGCGUAGAUAUUAGGAGGAACACCAGUGGCGAAGGCGGUCUGCUGGACAGCAACUGACGCUGAGGCGCGAAAGCGUGGGGAGCAAACAGGAUUAGAUACCCGAGUAGUC